Molecule: ribosomal RNA, 253 nt
Filed under: uncultured bacterium
Lineage: Bacteria
Description: partial 16S ribosomal RNA
Rfam family: Bacterial small subunit ribosomal RNA
Source: RNAcentral
UACGAAGGGUGCAAGCGUUAAUCGGAAUUACUGGGCGUAAAGCGUGCGUAGGCGGUUGCUUAAGUCUGUUGUGAAAUCCCCGGGCUCAACCUGGGAAUGGCAAUGGAUACUGGGCAGCUAGAGUGUGUCAGAGGAUGGUGGAAUUCCCGGUGUAGCGGUGAAAUGCGUAGAGAUCGGGAGGAACAUCAGUGGCGAAGGCGACACGCUGGGCCGUACCUGACACUGAGGCGCGAUAGCAUGGGGAGCGAACAGG